Non-coding RNA from Pipistrellus kuhlii (Kuhl's pipistrelle), 661 nucleotides. Lineage: Eukaryota; Metazoa; Chordata; Mammalia; Chiroptera; Vespertilionidae. The record is from the annotation of a RefSeq genome assembly.
UGGGACAGGAGCCCAGUCCUCGGCCCCCAGGUGUCCCCAUUCCCUGAUCAGGACUCAACACAAACCAUUCACCAUGGGGUUUGGCCUCAGCUGGGUUUUCCUUGUGGCUCUUUUAAGAGGUGUCCAGUGUGAGGUACAGCUAGUGGAGUCUGGGGGAGGCUUUGUGCAGCCUGAUGGUUCUCUGACCCUCUCCUGUGCAGCCUCUGGAUUCACCUUCAGUAGCUACUGGAUGAACUGGAUCCGCCAGGCUCCAGGGAAGGGGCUGGAGUGGAUUUCUACUAUUACUCAUACUGAUGGUAGCACAUACUAUGCAGACUCUGUGAAGGGCAGAUUCACCAUCUCUAGAGAUAAUGCCAAGAACAUGCUGUAUCUGCAAAUUAACAGCUUGAGAUAUGAGGACAUGGCCAUGUAUUACUGUACAAGACACACAGUGAGGGAAAGUCAGUGUGAGGUCAGACACAAAACUCCCUGCAGGAGAGGCUGUGACCAUCGGGGGGUGCUCAGGGUCCCUGAACACAAGGACCAUCCCAGCAGCAGGGCCUACCACUAUGAAUCUAAUGUGAUUGACAUCCCUCCACAGUUGCUAAUUUCCACAGUGUCACAUCUCAUUUUCCCCAGUAGACAAACUCCUCCCUUCCUGGGAAUGAGCACACCUGAGUAA